Molecule: ribosomal RNA, 484 nt
Filed under: uncultured bacterium
Lineage: Bacteria
Description: partial 16S ribosomal RNA
Rfam family: Bacterial small subunit ribosomal RNA
Source: RNAcentral
AUUGAACGCUGGCGGCAGGCCUAACACAUGCAAGUCGAGCGGAAGCAGGGAGCUUGCUCCUGCUUUCCGCGGGGGAGGGGUGCGUGAUGGCUAUGUAUCUGACUGGUCGCGGUGGAUGACGUGAGGAAAUGGGAGCUCAUACUGCAUCCGCCUAGAGGGAGAAAGGGAGAGAUCUUGGCAUCUUGGGCUCUUGCCUGAGUCUAGGUCGGAUUAGCUAGUUGGUGGGGUAAAGGCCUACCAAGGCGACGAUCCGUAUCUGGUCUGAGAGGAUGAUCAGCCACACUGGAACUGAGACACGGUCCAGACUCCUACGGGAGGCAGCAGUGGGGAAUAUUGGACAAUGGGCGAAAGCCUGAUCCAGCCAUGCCGCGUGUGUGAAGAAGGUCUUCGGGUUGUAAAGCACUUUAAGUGGGGAGGAAGGGCAGUAAGUUAAUACCUUGCUGUAUUGACGUUACCAACAGAAUAAGCACCGGCUAACUUCGUG